GCUAGGAAUUGAUGACGAUGAGGGUGACAAUGAUGUAGACGACAAGGGCAAAGAUGAUAAGGGUGUUGAAAAGGGGCUAGAGGUGGUGAUUGGCAAUAGGUGUGGCGUUGUCUCUGCUGGCAAACGCUCAACAGGUAUGACGGGUGGCGUAGAAACCGAGGAAGCAGAGUGAGUCGAUAUAGGCAACAGGAUAAAAGGAGGUCGCGUGACAUGCUCAGCUGCGGAUGUGGAUGAUGUUGACGAGGGGGAAGACGCCGCAGGGCUGGAUGCGGAAGCGGAGCUUGAAGACGUCAUAUCAAUGGUCGAUAUAGGUAAGUUAGAAAAUGUGACACUAGAAUCAGACAUCGGCGAGGUAGGAUCGUCUACUGGGGGCUGUGAGGGAGUUCCAGGUCCGUUUUCAGGGGCAG
RNAcentral lists this small RNA (407 nucleotides) under Histoplasma ohiense. RNAcentral's name for it is "hypothetical lncRNA". Lineage: Eukaryota; Fungi; Ascomycota; Eurotiomycetes; Onygenales; Ajellomycetaceae. The record is from RNAcentral.